Molecule: ribosomal RNA, 497 nt
Filed under: uncultured bacterium
Lineage: Bacteria
Description: partial 16S ribosomal RNA
Rfam family: Bacterial small subunit ribosomal RNA
Source: RNAcentral
GAUGAACGCUGGCGGCGUGCCUAAUACAUGCAAGUCGAGCGGACGGACGAGAAGCUUGCUUCUCUGAUGUUAGCGGCGGACGGGUGAGUAACACGUGGAUAACCCACCUAUAUUUCUGGGAUAACUUCGGGAAACCGGAGCUAAUCCCGGAUAAUCUUUUGCACCGCAUGGUUCAAAAGUGAAAGACGGUCUUGCUGGCUCUUAUCGAUGGAUCCGCGCUGCAUUAGCUAGUUGGUAAGGUAACGGCUUACCAAGGCAACGAUGCAUAGCCGAACUGAGAGGGUGGUCGGCCGCACUGGAGCUGGGACACGGUCCAGAGUACUACGGGAGGCAGCAGUAGGCAAUAUGCCGCAGUGGGCGGAAGCCUGGCGGAGUGAGGCCGCGUGAGUGAUGACGGUCUUCGGUGCGUGAAACUCUGUUAUUAGGGAAGAACAUAUGUGUACGUAGAUGUACAGAUCUUGACGGUACUUAGUCAGAAAGCCACGGCUAACUACGUG